Molecule: unclassified non-coding RNA, 375 nt
Filed under: Hevea brasiliensis (rubber tree)
Lineage: Eukaryota; Viridiplantae; Streptophyta; Magnoliopsida; Malpighiales; Euphorbiaceae
Source: RNAcentral
GCGUACUGAGAAAACCAAAAGAUCAUACCACUCUUUUACUAAAUUGUUACACCAAAUUAAAAGAUGUUGAGAAGCUGAAUGAGUUUAUCAAAAGUGAGGAUGGGGUUGGGGAACAAAAGUUUGAUGUUGAGACUGCAAUAAGGGUAUGCAGAGCUGCCAAUUAUCACGAGCAUGCCAUGUCUGUUGCUAAGAAAGCUGGGAGGCAUGAAUGGUACCUUAAAAUUUUGCUUGAAGAUCUAGGCAGGUAUGAAGAAGCUUUACAAUAUAUCAGCAGCCUUGAGUUGAGUCAAGCUGGGGUGACAGUGAAAGAGUAUGGCAAAAUUCUUAUUGAGCAUAAGCCAGCUGAAACAGUUGAGAUACUCAUGAGGCUUUGCA